RNAcentral lists this transfer RNA (73 nucleotides) under Stegodyphus mimosarum. It matches the Rfam family "tRNA". From Rfam's summary of the family: Transfer RNA (tRNA) molecules are approximately 80 nucleotides in length. Their secondary structure includes four short double-helical elements and three loops (D, anti-codon, and T loops). Further hydrogen bonds mediate the characteristic L-shaped molecular structure. tRNAs have two regions of fundamental functional importance: the anti-codon, which is responsible for specific mRNA codon recognition, and the 3' end, to which the tRNAs corresponding amino acid is attached (by aminoacyl-tRNA synthetases). tRNAs cope with the degeneracy of the genetic code in two manners: having more than one tRNA (with a specific anti-codon) for a particular amino acid; and 'wobble' base-pairing, i.e. permitting non-standard base-pairing at the 3rd anti-codon position. The record is from Rfam by way of RNAcentral. Lineage: Eukaryota; Metazoa; Arthropoda; Arachnida; Araneae; Eresidae.
GCCUUCCUGGUGUAGUGGUCAGCACACUGAGCUCGUAUUUCAGAUGUCCGUGGUUCGAGUCCCGACGAAGGCU